CACGGAGGGAGCAAGCGUUGUUCGGAAUCACUGGGCGUAAAGGGCGUGUAGGCGGUCAGGUAAGUGGGAUGUGAAAUGCCCCGGCUCACCCGGGGACCGGCAUCCCAUACUGCUUGGCUUGAGUACGGGAGAGGAUGUGGGAAUUCCUGGUGUAGCGGUGAAAUGCGUAGAUAUCAGGAGGAACACCGGUGGCGAAGGCGCACAUCUGGCCCGAUACUGACGCUGAGGCGCGAAAGCUAGGGGAGCAAACGGG
This 253-nucleotide ribosomal RNA is filed under the name uncultured bacterium. Its description in RNAcentral is "partial 16S ribosomal RNA". It matches the Rfam family "Bacterial small subunit ribosomal RNA", at positions 524 to 776 of the family's 1533-position model. The record is from RNAcentral.